Molecule: non-coding RNA, 2124 nt
Organism: Cinara cedri
Lineage: Eukaryota; Metazoa; Arthropoda; Insecta; Hemiptera; Aphididae
Source: the annotation of a GenBank genome assembly
UUCAUGUACCUUAAGUAAGUAUAUACUUUAAAAUAGGAACCCUUCUCUUCCCAUUUUAAAUACAGGUUUGAAUAGAGAACAUUUUUUUAGAAAUCUUAAUGUGCAUAACACUAAUAUCAAAUUUACCGUUUAUGAAUUAUAGCAGUUUAAAGUUUGGACCGGAGGAGUAGAGAAGGGUCAUGAAUCGCAUAUAUAUUUUUGAAUGAUAAAUUGAUAACCCUUCCAUACUUCUCCGAUCUAAACUUUAAACUGUUAUAACUCAUAAACGCUGAAUUUAAUAUUAGUGUUAUGCAUAACAAAAUAAAUUUCUAAAAUAAUUAUCUUUGUUUGUAUAUGUGUUUUAAAGGAAGAAGGUUUGCUAUUUAAAAAUCCAAAGUGAGUACUCAUUUUAGGUAUGAGAGUAUGGGUGAAAAAUGUAAAACAGUAUUAAAAUAAAGCUCAAACGAUUCCGUAAUACAUUCCAUUACAUAUAUUUACCUUUUUUCAAAGGGCUCGUAAAUAAAAUAAAUUAAAAUAAAGUACUUAAUGAUGAAAAACAAAUUAAAUUCGAUAAAAAUCCUCCAAGAAAAUUGAUGGUUCAUGACAAAAAAAUCGCUUUGUACAUAUUGUGCAUAUUUAUAUUACCUACAUAAUAUUAUUUAUUGCAAAUUAAUAUUUUGAACUAUGGUCCACGGUUAUUUAUUAGGAAAUAUAAAGUUCCAGCUUUUGAAAUUUGUACGCGCACAUCAGCUGGUUCUUAGAGUGAAAUGACUGCGACAGAUUAUUAUAAUUUAUUGGACCUAAUUCGUGGGUCAAAACAAUAGAUAAGUUAUGAUUUCCGUAUAGACCAUUGGUGUAUGUAUAGUCUAUUUUCCAUUUUUUAUUGAUACCUAUAGUAAAUGUCAAAUAUAUUUGCUUGACAAUCUGAGAGCUGGUAUAUAUUAUUUAAACAAAAAUUAGUCUAUAAAAUAUGCGGCGAUUCGAAAAUGUAUAUGCAUAUACUUAAUAAUAUUUUUAUUACCUAUAUAAUAAACAAGCCAUGUCAUUAUACUUUACAAAGUAAUAAAUAAUAAAAAUCAAAACGUCAUUUAAAAAAAAAUCAAAUUGGAAAAAACAUAGCUUGAUGGAGUAUUAUAUCCAGUAUUCAAAUUUAGGUGGGAUGCGCAGAUUGACGGCGCUCCCCUACUUCAACUAAUUUCUCUUUUUUUUUUUUUUUUUUUUUUAGUGUCACCUUACUAAUAAUUAUUUCUAUUAGGACAGAAGAAAAGUAUGUAUUUUUUUUGUAAAUAGUUACCUAUUUAUAAAUAUAAGAAAAAAAAAUUACUAUCAACUCAGAUAUAUAUUUAAUAUUAUAAAUUUAUUUUUUAGAAUUUAAUAUUAUUAAUAACGUACAUUAAAUAGAUAUAUAAACAAGAACGAACCUCGGUUAGAUUGAGUUCAAUAAUUUCAUGGAAUGACAAUUUUUAUCAAGUCUCAUAGUCCCUUUUCUUCUAUAUACCUAAUUGGAGCACUAAUUUUUAUUUUACAUUAAUUGCAUUUAUUAUUUUUAUAUACCUAAAAUUAAAAAUUAAUAAAACCUUAAAAUUAAUUUUUUUUUUUUAUAAUAUUAAAAAUUAUCAGUAAGGUAUAUUUAGAGUUUAUUAUAUUAAUUGGCUAUCAUAAUAAAUUGAAAGGCAACUAGUUUUAUUUAUUUUCAUAGUGAAUAUUUUCUAUAUGCCUAUCUAUAGGAAUGACGGAUUCUGUAGUUUCACUUAGAGAGUUAUAUAGAGAAAAUAGCAUAUGUAGUGGUCGGUACCGGUAAGUGAUGGAAACUAGGUACUAAACUUUUGGUCUAUACCAACGUCGUACCUUUUACUAUAGUCAAAAUACCAAAACGAUCAAUCCCUAGAAUAUAAUUAUAAUUUCUAGACCGCGAAGUGUGUAGUAUUGUGGUCAAAUAAAUAUAAUUUUCUCCGGUGUAAAAAAAAAACCAACAUUUAUCAAUAUAUCGAGUACAUUAUUAAAAUUAACAUAAUAAUAUUACGUAUUAUAAUAAGGUUUUAUCUACUUACAGAAUAUAUAAUUAUACAAUAUAAUAAUAUAUAAUUUAUAUUUUAACUACCUAUAUAAUGUAUACGUCUUGUGUUUUAUAUUAUUAUCAGUAGC